Dermacentor andersoni is the source of this 165-nucleotide long non-coding RNA. RefSeq lists it as uncharacterized. The record is from RefSeq and is a predicted model, not a curated record. NCBI's taxonomy places the organism in Eukaryota, Metazoa, Arthropoda, Arachnida, Ixodida, Ixodidae.
GCAGAAGACGAAGAGGUCUGGCGAAAAAAAAAAGAUGAAAAAAAAGUUUUCCACCACCAGGAAAAACGGACGCAGGAGAGCGCGAUACCUGUCUUCGUUGCUGCCCACGCAAAGGCGAAAACUUUAAAAGCGGUGCUUAAAAAAACAAUAAACGAGAAAAAGAAA